GUGCCAGGCUGAGCAGACUCAGGAGGCGUCUCUCCGAGGGUGUGGGCUGUGAUGGGGCCCUGUGCACCCAUCCAGGCUGCCCAGACCAGGAGAGCACAGGUCAGCCAGACACAUGAUGGAAGCCUCCCCAACCUCUGGCCUCCAGUCCCAACAAGCCAUGCUCCUUCCAGAGGGAACCUCUGCCAGGGGAGCCUCCACUUUCUUGCUCCUGCCUCCCUACCUGGCACCCAGGCCGGCCCUGGUACCCUGGUACUGAAUAAAGGCACACGUCUAAAUGAUGUCGGGGGGAAUCUGCCCAGUGUUGGCACUGGAGCGAACACGACCCACUGCCAGCAUGGCCCACGAGCCACGCCCCCCCCAAGCCAGCACCUCCUCCCCAGAGGAAGCACGGGGCUCAAGGGGGCACGCCCCUGAAUGGGAGGUCACACAUGGUGCAUACAAUGGAAUAGGAUUAAUCCGUGAAAAGGAAGAAAUUCUGACACAUGCUCCAGCGUGGAGGAACCUUGAGGACAACACUGAGUGAAAUAAGCCAGACACGAAAGGACAGAUACGGCAAGACUCGACUUACGUGAGGUCCCUAGAGGAGUCGGAUUCAUAGAGACUGAAAGGAUGGCGGGCACCAGGGGCGGUGGAGAGGGGAAAUGGGGAGUUACUGUUUAAUGGGGACAGAGUUUCAGUUUUACAAGAUGAAAAGGGUCCUGGAGCUGGAUGGGGGUGACGGCCGCACAACAGCAUGAAUGGACUGAACGCCACUGAACUGAACUCUUGAAAAUGGUUAAACUGGCAAAUUUUGUUAUGCAUAUUUUGCCACAAAAAGCAAACAACUCUUCUCCCCAAAAAUAUCUGGGGUGUACUUACACUAAAUAUGUAGGGCAUAUUUACGCUCAACAUUUAUUUCCUUAUUUGAAAUUAAAGUAUUUGGGACACACUGCA
Molecule: non-coding RNA, 933 nt
Filed under: Pan troglodytes (chimpanzee)
Lineage: Eukaryota; Metazoa; Chordata; Mammalia; Primates; Hominidae
Source: RNAcentral